Molecule: ribosomal RNA, 253 nt
Filed under: uncultured bacterium
Lineage: Bacteria
Description: partial 16S ribosomal RNA
Rfam family: Bacterial small subunit ribosomal RNA
Source: RNAcentral
GACGAGCUCUCCAAACGUUAUUCGGAAUUACUGGGCGUAAAGCGCACGUAGGCGGAUUAACAAGUCAGAGGUGAAAUCCCAGGGCUCAACCUUGGAACUGCCUUUGAAACUGUUAGUCUUGAGGUCGUGAGAGGUGAGUGGAAUUCCGAGUGUAGAGGUGAAAUUCGUAGAUAUUCGGAGGAACACCAGUGGCGAAGGCGGCUCACUGGCACGAUACUGACGCUGAGGUGCGAAAGCGUGGGGAGCAAACAGG